GUCUCCGAGGCCUGGGAAAACUUUACCUCUGAUACCUUCCUGAACAGAGAUAGACAUCUGAAAGUCUUCCUUGCAGAUCAGUGGUUCAUCUAGUUGAACAGCCUACACAGUGGCAAGGACCAACACUUCAGAAAAAUACCAAGUUUCUUUUAAGUGCCUAUUGUGUGACUACAGAAAUUGCUGCAUCCUCAUUAUAUUCCAGAUUUCUGGUCAUGAUAGUCAUCAGUGACAUAUAAAUCAGACUUGUAGUCCAGGAGAAGGGAGAAGAAAGAAUUCCAGUGGCAGGGAGCUUAGCUGCUUUUGACAAGAAGGAAACACAGGCCUCCUAAUUAACAGUGCAGUUAAAGAGGGGUGAGUGGGUUGUUGCCAAAUGUAACUCUGGGGAAAACUGUGACUGCUGUGAUCAAGGGAGUUAUUUACUCAGUCAAUAAAAACCAGGCUGAAACAAAUGGCA
RNAcentral lists this long non-coding RNA (454 nucleotides) under Cyanistes caeruleus (blue tit). RNAcentral's name for it is "lncRNA (ENSCCEG00000010927.1)". The record is from RNAcentral. Lineage: Eukaryota; Metazoa; Chordata; Aves; Passeriformes; Paridae.